CUAGCGACUUCAGAGUUUGAUCCUGGCUCAGGACGAACGCUGGCGGCGUGCCUAACGCAUGCAAGUCGAACGGAACUCAUUGGAUCAAGACUUCGGUCAAGUGAAUUUGAGUUUAGUGGCGGACGGGUGAGUAACGCGUGAGGAACCUGCCUUUCAGAGGGGGACAACAGUUGGAAACGACUGCUAAUACCGCAUGAUGCAUUUUUGGGGCAUCCCUUAAACGCCAAAGAUUUUAUCGCUGAAAGAUGGCCUCGCGUCUGAUUAGAUAGUUGGUGGGGUAACGGCCCACCAAGUCGACGAUCAGUAGCCGGACUGAGAGGUUGAACGGCCACAUUGGGACUGAGAUACGGCCCAG
Molecule: ribosomal RNA, 355 nt
Filed under: uncultured bacterium
Lineage: Bacteria
Description: bacterial SSU rRNA
Rfam family: Bacterial small subunit ribosomal RNA
Source: RNAcentral